This 120-nucleotide microRNA precursor is filed under the name Chlorocebus sabaeus (green monkey). Its description in RNAcentral is "miRNA (ENSCSAG00000027477.1)". The record is from RNAcentral. Lineage: Eukaryota; Metazoa; Chordata; Mammalia; Primates; Cercopithecidae.
UUUGUAUGUCUUCUUUUGAAAAAUGUUUGUUCAUCGCUUAUAGGCCUUUUGGCUAAGAUCAAGUGAGAAAUGUCUGUUCAGAUCACCUAUCCAUUUUAUAAUGAGAUUGUUUGCUUCCUG